AUAUAUAUAUAUAUAUAUAUAUAUAUAUAUAUAUAUGCGCAUGUGUGAGAGAGAGAUAUAUAUUAUGGGAGCUGACAUACCAUGUAAACCAAGAUAUAGCAAGAUAACACCCACUUUAAAAUAUAGAAUGAAAAUAAUCCCUAUCUAUCAAGCAUCAAGCGAGUCUCUCCUGCAGUUUAACUCGUCGGUGUAGCGUACACGUUUCACGUUCCUGUCUUUGGUCAUGGCCUCCACAAAGCCCAGUAAUCCUGCAGGACUCUGAGUGCUUAAUGCUUGUGUUUAAUUAGAAGACCUUCAUAAGAAUACGUCAUGCUGUUAGGUUAACGUCGGACCUUGCCAUUAUUUGAGUAACACAGCCCAAGACGAUACGUCCAGCUGAGUUCACUACUGCAACACUUACUAGAGUAAUAUUGUAAAAAUGAACAUGGAGGCACAACCCAAACUACAUCACACUAACAACCGACAGGCUGCUGAUGUCAAGUUGCCAGAUUGGUCUUUUGUAGAGUGGCGCGACUGAUACCAUUACCGUUGUAGAUCUGAUGAAUGUUUUUAGCCAAAAUACAGACAGAACACUGAAAUUCAUAUACCUCAUAUACGUAUACUACGUGACCUUUAUCUGAAAAGUAUUUUUAGUGUUUGCUGGUUUCACUGAUGUUUUUUCCUUCAGUUUUUGUGCAACAAAAUGGGAACCAAACGCAGAUACAAAAUUAAGAUGAGACGAGGAAAAUCCGAGGAAUUUAUUAGCCAAUCGAUUUUUGCCACGUCACCAUAACCAAUUUACAUAAACUAAUGCAUGUCACGCUGCUGCACUUACGAAAUGUCUAUUUCAAGGAAAUGAAGUUUAAUGUUGCGUAGUCAUUUGCUAGUGUGAAUGCAAGAUGAGGUCAAUCAAAUCUUUAAUCUCAAAAGGGCUCGUGUUGUAACAUUAAGAAUGGCAAAAGUACCCACCUCCAUAUUUGAUUCAGUACUUCACUAAAUUCCAUCAAGUAAUUAUAAUCAAAUACUCAGUCACUUCAUCCGGUCAUGAUGUCAUUUUAGUGAAAUGGAGCUACUGUGUCUGUAAAUUUCCAUAACAUCACAUUUUUUAAAAUUGAAAUUAGUGUUCAUCAGAUGCACAUUCUGAUUCCUAUAAAUCAAUGCACAGUGUACAUUUGUUAAUUUAAGCUGGACAGAACAGACUAAUGCAAAGCAAAGGAAAAAGGGGGAAUUAAAUAUAAAGGAAAACAAAAGAAAAUGUGAAUAUAUACAAGUGUCAUUUACAUUAAAAUUAGAGAAGGCAGGAUUUAGUUAAUGAAGAUUUAAAAAGUAUGGAAGGUCAUAUUCCCUAAAAUAAUAUUUACUAAAAAACAAAACAAACAAGAUAUUUUAACUGCGGUAGAUAAGGACUUCGAGAAAACAUCCUAUUGCGCUAUAAUUAAAGUCAAGCACACGUACAGUACGAAGGGGGAAACAUACAUACACACACACACACACACACACACACACACAUUAUAUAUAUAUCAAUAUA
This is a long non-coding RNA of Ictalurus punctatus (channel catfish), 1507 nucleotides long. NCBI's taxonomy places the organism in Eukaryota, Metazoa, Chordata, Actinopteri, Siluriformes, Ictaluridae. The record is from Ensembl.